This 196-nucleotide unclassified non-coding RNA is filed under the name uncultured Agaricales. RNAcentral describes it as "sequence contains ITS1". Lineage: Eukaryota; Fungi; Basidiomycota; Agaricomycetes; Agaricales. The record is from RNAcentral.
CUGAAUAAACUUGGUGGGUUGUAGCUGGCUCCUUGGAGCAAUGUGCACGCCUAUCAUCUUUAUACAUCCACCUGUGCACAAUCUGUAGUCUUGGGGGAAAUGAGAAUUCUCUCUCGAGUCUAUGUGUCUUCAUAAACUCUAUAGCAUGUCGCAGAAUGUAUUUAAUGGGCCUUUGUGCCUAUAUAAAAACUAUAUA